Molecule: ribosomal RNA, 433 nt
Filed under: uncultured bacterium
Lineage: Bacteria
Description: partial 16S ribosomal RNA
Rfam family: Bacterial small subunit ribosomal RNA
Source: RNAcentral
AGCGAACGCUGGCGGCAGGCUUAACGCAUGCAAGUCGAGCGGGCCUUUCGGGGUCAGCGGCGGACGGGUGAGUAACGCGUGGGAACGUGCCCUCUGGUUCGGAAUAACUCAGGGAAACUUGAGCUAAUACCGGAUACGCCCUUUUGGGGAAAGGCUUGCUGCCGGAGGAUCGGCCCGCGUCUGAUUAGCUAGUUGGUGAGGUAACGGCUCACCAAGGCGACGAUCAGUAGCUGGUCUGAGAGGAUGAUCAGCCACACUGGGACUGAGACACGGCCCAGACUCCUACGGGAGGCAGCAGUGGGGAAUAUUGGACAAUGGGCGCAAGCCUGAUCCAGCCAUGCCGCGUGAGUGAUGAAGGCCUUAGGGUUGUAAAGCUCUUUUAUCCGGGACGAUACUGACGGUACCGGAGGAAUAAGCCCCGGCUAACUUCGUG